Colossoma macropomum (tambaqui) is the source of this 135-nucleotide small nucleolar RNA. RefSeq annotates it as small nucleolar RNA SNORA13. The record is from RefSeq and is a predicted model, not a curated record. NCBI's taxonomy places the organism in Eukaryota, Metazoa, Chordata, Actinopteri, Characiformes, Serrasalmidae. The transcript has a single exon.
UGCCUUUAUGUGUUGCCCAUUCAUUUUCAUCUAGAUGAAUGUGGUGUCAAAUAAGGCGCACAGUAACUCUUGUAACAGCCUAAUGUGAUGGAAUAUCUUGGUUAUUUCCUUAUUAGUGCUGUGGCAAGAACAUAA